UUGAAAUCCUUAGGAUGUUGCUGGCCUCUCGGGGCAUGUGCACUCCGCCUUUUCAAUUCACCUGUGAACUCAUUGUAGGCCGGACUUUUAAAAGUCUGUGUCUAUGUUUUUAAUACACCCCAUUUAAAAAGUUUAACAGAAUGUCAUAAUAGACCUUUGAUGGUCGAAAUAAAUUAAUA
RNAcentral lists this unclassified non-coding RNA (179 nucleotides) under uncultured fungus. RNAcentral's name for it is "sequence contains ITS1, 5.8S rRNA gene". Lineage: Eukaryota; Fungi. The record is from RNAcentral. RNAcentral also lists the same sequence under 1 other name.